ACAAAAUAUAGAAAUCCAAUUCCUUUUUAGGAAAGGAACCAGACAGUUAGUAGUAUAUCAUAGUAAGUCAUAGAUAUUCUGUUUAAGGGGGACCAUAUUUUCAUUGCAGAACUUUACUUUGGUGGGGAAGCAGGUAAAGAAUUGUUUUUUAUAAUACGCAUUAUAUUUAGAUCAAUUGUAUUUUGAAUCUAAACUUCACGAUUAGUGGCUUUUGGGCUAAUCUUAAUUUUUGUUUUUGCACUCAAGCGUGCGCACACAUCCAUAUCGGUGUGCCAUACAAU
This 281-nucleotide long non-coding RNA is filed under the name Setaria viridis. RNAcentral's name for it is "long non-coding RNA (SVIR_LNC003775)". Lineage: Eukaryota; Viridiplantae; Streptophyta; Magnoliopsida; Poales; Poaceae. The record is from RNAcentral.